RNAcentral lists this ribosomal RNA (1485 nucleotides) under uncultured bacterium. RNAcentral's name for it is "bacterial SSU rRNA". It matches the Rfam family "Bacterial small subunit ribosomal RNA". The record is from RNAcentral.
GGACGAACGCUGGGCGGCGUGCCUAACGCAUGCAAGUCGAGCGGGGAUGGUAGCUGAAGGUGAUGAGCUGGAAGCUGCCAUCUUAGCGGCGGACGGGUGAGUAACACGUGAGCAACCUACCCUCAGCACGGGGAUAACAGCUCGAAAGGGCUGCUAAUACCCGAUGGGACCACGUCAUUGCAUGGUGAUGUGGUGAAAGGGUGGACGUAAGGUCCAUACCGGCUGGGGAUGGGCUCGCGGCCCAUCAGCUAGUUGGUGGGGUAACGGCCUACCAAGGCGACGACGGGUGGGCCGGCCUGAGAGGGUGACCGGCCACAGUGGGACCGAGACACGGCCCACACUCCUACGGGAGGCAGCAGCGGGGAAUCUUGCGCAAUGGGCGAAAGCCUGACGCAGCGACGCCGCGUGAGGGAAGGAGCCCUUCGGGGUGUAAACCUCUUUGGACGGGGAGAAGUAGGAGAUAGUACCCGUUUAAAAAGCCACGGCUAACUACGUGCCAGCAGCCGCGGUAAUACGUAGGUGGCGAGCGUUGUCCGGAAUUACUGGGCGUAAAGGGUGCGUAGGCGGCCUGGUAAGUUUGAGCGUGAAAUUUUUGGGGCUCAACCCAAAAGGAGCGUUCAAGACUGCCAGGCUUGAGUGCGGGAGAGGGACGGCGGAAUUUCCCGGUGUAGCGGUGAAAUGCGUAGAUAUCGGGAGGAACACCAGUGGGCGAAGGCGGCCGUCUGGACCGUAACUGACGCUGAGGGCACGAAAGCGUGGGGGAGCAAACAGGAUUUAGAUACCCUGGUAGUCCACGCUGUAAAACGAUGGAUGCUAGGUGUGGGGGAGAAAGAACACUUUCCCGUGCCGUAGUUAACACAAAUAAAGCAUCCCGCCUGGGGGAGUACGGCCCGCAAAGGUUGAAAACUCAAAAGGGAAUUGACGGGGGGCCCCGCACCAAGCGGGUGGGAGCAAUGUGGUUUUAAUUCGAAAGCAAACGCGAAAGAACUCUUUACCCAGGGGCUUGACCAUGCCCGGGGAACCCUUUCCGAAAAGGGAGGGGGGUGCCCUGACCCGAUGAGGGUUAGGGAACCCCGGACCACCAGGUGGUGCCAUGGGUUGUUCGUCAAGCUUCGUGUUCGUGAGAAUGUUGGGUUAAUUCCCGCAACGAGCGCCACCCCCUGCCCCUUAGUUGCCCAGCGGCGACCGCCACUUAGAGACUGCCGCCGAUAGGCGAGGAGGUGAGAUGACGUCAAUCUCAUGUCCUUAUGCCCUGGCUACACACGUGCUACAUGGUGCUACAAGGGCAGCAGGCGGAGCUGAGGAUCUCAAAGAGCCUUUUCAUUCGGAUUGCGGCUGCAAUUGCCUGCAUAAUUGGAAUCGCUAGUAAUCGGAUCAGCAGCCGCGGUAAUACGUUCUGGCAUGUACACCCGCCCGUCCACUCAUAGAGUUCAGCACCCCUGAAACCCGGGGCAUCUGUGUGAAGGUGAGGCUGAUGAUUGGGGU